Molecule: long non-coding RNA, 536 nt
Organism: Gallus gallus (chicken)
Lineage: Eukaryota; Metazoa; Chordata; Aves; Galliformes; Phasianidae
Source: Ensembl
CAUACAUGAAAUAGUUCUGAAAAAAUAUUUAUGUCUGUGGAUGUUGAAUUCAGUCAUAUGAGAGAGUUUCUUCUUCAAUAAGAAUUUUCAAAAACAUCUCCUACUGUUGUGACCCAGUCCUCUGUGGUGGUUUUCUGAUGGACCAUGACUUGCUCUUGGAUUCUGCUGACUGGGUGAGGUUGAAUACGUGCAAUCUUGAGUAAUACCUAUGUAAGGAACAACGGUUGGCUUUCUCCUCUUCAUUUUGUGCUCACAAAGACUGAAGUAUUUCAGCAUACUGAUGGACAAUGGACUGCCAGUGCAGACAGACAUCCAAAUUCAUCUUGGAAGAGUCAAGUUCUUAACUGUAGCAAAAAUAGCAAUUAUUUAUGGAGCAGCAUUAUAAUAGGCAUUAUGAAUUUGCAGAAGUCUUCACUGCACACAAAAUAUCAUUUUACUUGUACUAGAAAUUUCAUUUUUUUACAUUUUCUAGGUAGUUUGUUGUCUUCUUCAAACAGAGGCUGGUUUUCCUAGACAGGAGAAGGUAUUUUGCUGUG